AGAAAUUGUAAGUUGAUCAUAUGUCAAAGGGUAUUCAAUUUAACAACAGACAUGACCUAGAUUGAGAUGAAGGGAAACAAUUCAUAUGGUCAACCCUAAAUAAUCAGAAUUUAAUUACAUACUCAAUUAGUAAACAUUUCAAUAUUCACCUAAUAAAACUGCUCUAUUGAAAAUAUCUGCAUCCUUAAGCCACAUUUAUGAUCUUUACACAAACUAAUUAUACUCAAAUGUACAAGAAAAAAAAAAAAAACUCAUGAAAAGUAAAUGACAAAAUUUCUAUAUGCCCUAUAAAUUUUUUAGAAUAACAUGGUGCAGAUCCAUUUCUAUAACAACAUAAUUCAAAGCCAAUGUUUUAAAAGGUUAUUAAGGCUUAUGCCCUAAGGUAAGCUUCAAGGCAAGGCAUUGUGAAUUAUCCUAGAGGUUCACCUUUAGGCUAUAUCAUUACAACAUGAUAAUUUAGAUCAAAGCCUCACCUUGAUGAGACAUACAAAGGCUAUUGAGGGUUAAGGUUCAAUAUUCAAUGGUUUGGGUCCUUGUGGGCUUUUGUUCUAUAUUGAUAAGAGGUUUAAGUCAAUAUUAAAUGGGUUUUAAAAGGUUUUUCCUUUCGGUAUUUUAUAAGCCUUAGGUCUCAAGUCCCAGGUGUUAAAGGAGGGCUUAACUAGCUUCUAUUCAAUGCUUUAAAGAAAGGAGAGAGAAAGUGCAUGAGAGAGAGAGAGAGAGGAGUUGUUUGUUGUAGUGACUAAGCUCAUGUAUAAUCUUAUCAUCAACAUAGAAACGAAAGAGAUCAUUGCAAUUGAUGAAUGAAGAAGAAAACAUACAAUAACAAUGAUAAGAAGGAUGAUGGAGAAUUAGAGAUGAUGACAAAUUGUUUGCGGAUCCUAUUAGCAAUGGUGAUAAUGGUGCUAAAUACUAUUUGAUGGAGCCAUGACAGAAUUGGACUGUGAAAGAAAAAAAAAUGAGCUAAAUUGUAUGUACUAUUGAAAAUAAAAAAUAAUUAGUGUGUUCGGAAAUUGUUCCUAGAAUAGGUUUUUGUUCUUUGGAACUCAACAAUUUUCUAACUUGAAAAACACAUUUAAUAAACUUUUGACCCACACUAGUUUCUUGAGAAUUUGUUCUAAAAACAAGUUGUUUUUAAACCAAGGGUGUUUUGAAGUGUUUUUUUUCAGUAUUCUGAAAACAAUUAAAAGUAUGGAAAAUACUUUGAGAAUUUUUACAUUAUAUAAAGGUGCACAACAUCUUCACCAAGAGUAAAUUGAAAAAACAGUUUUUCAUACUCGAGUCCCCAAACAGAAUUUUGCUCUUGAAAACAAUUGAACACUAUUCUUAAGAAUUGUUCUAAAGAACUGUUCUCAAAAACUGUUUUUUUGAGAACUAUCUUUGAAAAUGUUGUCAAAUAGACCCUUAAUUUUUUAGAUUUCUUUUUUAACAAGUUUGAGACCAACACUUCAUUCCACCUCAAGCCUUACAUCUAAUCUCAUUUAGAAAAAAAAAAGGCCUCAAGAUCAGAUUUAGCUUUUCAAAACAUUGAUUAGAACUGACAUAGAAUUGGACUCUUUACUCUCCUAUAAUAAACAGUGAGCAUUUUCACAAAAGCAGAAUGGUCAUCAUAUCAGUGUUAUACACACUACUUUGAUGCACCUAGUAUUGAACAAUUUUUAACACUGAUGAUGUCUUAAUGAGAUGAAUGAUACUAUGUUAAAGCUUUUGUAUCAAAUCUACAACCAAAUAUGAUCAACAGCAAUGCCCUCUAAGAGUAUUACACUUCAGCUAUUAGUAAGGGCAACAAGUGAUCAAGUGGAUCAUGAUAUAAGAUUUUUUUUUCCCUUGCAAAUGCACAAGCAUUUUACCAACAGACGAAGACGUGUACCAUCUUUGAUAUGGCACAUAUGUUAUGGCUUAUUCAACCUUGGUAAAAAAUGAGAUCAAGGCAAUUGGAAAUGCAAAAAAUCAUGGUGAAUGGGAUAUCAUGAUUCCAAUAGUGGUAUUACAUUAUUUAAGUAAA
This 2002-nucleotide long non-coding RNA is filed under the name Vitis vinifera (wine grape). Its description in RNAcentral is "long non-coding RNA (VVIN_LNC007880)". The record is from RNAcentral. Lineage: Eukaryota; Viridiplantae; Streptophyta; Magnoliopsida; Vitales; Vitaceae.